RNAcentral lists this unclassified non-coding RNA (251 nucleotides) under uncultured Pleosporales. Its description in RNAcentral is "sequence contains ITS2". The record is from RNAcentral. Lineage: Eukaryota; Fungi; Ascomycota; Dothideomycetes; Pleosporales.
AACGCACAUUGCGCCCCUUGGUAUUCCAUGGGGCAUGCCUGUUCGAGCGUCAUUUGUACCUUCAAGCUUUGCUUGGUGUUGGGCGUUUUGUCUUUUCUCUUCUGAUUAGACUCGCCUUAAAGUCAUUGGCAGCCAGUGUUUUUGGUAGUAAGCGCAGCACAUUUUGCGUCUUGGUCCUUAAAUAGCGGCAUCCAUAUAGCUACUUUUUCACUUUUGACCUCGGAUCAGGUAGGGAUACCCGCUGAACUUAA